RNAcentral lists this ribosomal RNA (468 nucleotides) under uncultured bacterium. RNAcentral describes it as "partial 16S ribosomal RNA". It matches the Rfam family "Bacterial small subunit ribosomal RNA", at positions 28 to 507 of the family's 1533-position model. The record is from RNAcentral.
GACGAACGCUGGCGGCGUGCUUAACACAUGCAAGUCGAACGGAAAGGCCCUGCUUUUGUUGGGUGCUCGAGUGGCGAACGGGUGAGUAACACGUGAGUAACCUGCCCUUGACUUUGGGAUAACUUCAGGAAACUGGGGCUAAUACCGGAUAGGAGCUCCUGCUGCUUGGUGGGGGUUGGAAAGUUUCGGCGGUUGGGGAUGGACUCGCGGCUUAUCAGCUUGUUGGUGGGGUAGUGGCUUAGCAAGGUUUUGACGGGUCGCCGGCCUGAGAGGGUGACCGGCCACAUAGGGACUGAGGUACGGCCCAGAGUCCUACGGGAGGCAUCAGUGGGGAAUAUUGCGCAAUGGGCGGAGGCCGUAUGCAGCAUCGCCGCGUGCUGGAUGACGGCUUUCGGGUUGUAAACCGCUUUCGCCUGUGACGAAGCGUGAGUGACGGUAAUGGGUAAGGAAGCACCGGCUAACUACGUG